CGGAGGGUGCAAGCGUUAUCCGGAUUCACUGGGUUUAAAGGGUGUGUAGGCGGGUAGUUAAGUCAGUGGUGAAAUCUCCGGGCUCAACCCGGAAACUGCCAUUGAUACUAUCUAUCUUGAAUUUUGUUGAGGUAGGCGGAAUAUGUCAUGUAGCGGUGAAAUGCAUAGAUAUGACAUAGAACACCAAUUGCGAAGGCAGCUUACUAAGCAAAUAUUGACGCUGAGGCACGAAAGCGUGGGGAUCAAACAGGAUUAGAUACCCUGGUAGUCCACGCCCUAAACGAUGAUUACUCGACAUACGCGAUACACAGUGUGUGUCUGAGCGAAAGCAUUAAGUAAUCCACCUGGGAAGUACGUCCGCAAGGAUG
RNAcentral lists this ribosomal RNA (368 nucleotides) under uncultured organism. RNAcentral describes it as "bacterial SSU rRNA". It matches the Rfam family "Bacterial small subunit ribosomal RNA", at positions 526 to 896 of the family's 1533-position model. The record is from RNAcentral.